Long non-coding RNA from Eriocheir sinensis (Chinese mitten crab), 6121 nucleotides. RefSeq lists it as uncharacterized. The record is from RefSeq and is a predicted model, not a curated record. The transcript has 2 exons. Lineage: Eukaryota; Metazoa; Arthropoda; Malacostraca; Decapoda; Varunidae.
UCCUUCCUUCCUUCUUCCCUCCCUCCCUCCUCUUUCCCCCCAGUCAGUGCCCCUCCACCCUCAUCUGCCUCCCAUGUCGUAUCGCACGCCAUCACAUCAAUCUUCUAUUCUCUGGCAGUUUGUGUUGCCACCUGUCAUGCAGCAAGCUUCUUUUAGUCCCGUCAUGAUGUGUAACGUCCUAUCGUGAUGCAUAAUGUAACUAAUGUAAUUUAGUUUUGUGAUCAGAUUGUUUAUUAUGCUUAUUGUAACCCAUGAAGGUUUAUUUUUGGUUCCUUAACAGUCCAGUGCCCAAAGUGGCUAAGGACUGUCUGUUGUGUGUGGCUCCCAUCACCGCCUCUUUCUGCUGCUGCUGCUGAGCCUUUUCCAGCUGCUCCAUCACUGUCUUGCAUCAGUGUGUUCCAACAUUGCUCUGCUGUCUGUCCUACUAGCAGGAGUCUGGCUUUAAGUUUUUGCUGCCAUCACUGCUGCCGGCCAUCAUGUGGCACUCAUCCUUGUGUCACAGAAAGUCCAUGCAAGUGUUGACGGUUCACCCGCCUGUGGCUUCCUGCUCCCACACCAGGCCACAGCUACCAUCUGGGCAGACCACACAGCCGCUGGGCUCACCUGCGUAGUGCUGAGUGUGGACGCAUUGAGGCAGAGGCUGUGCUGUGGCUCACCGCCUCUGUCAGGGCUGUUGUCCCUCAGCACCAGGCGUGUACAGUCUGAAGGUGGUGUGGCCUGAUAACCUGCAGGGCUCCUCUCACCCGCACCUCCCUGCACCGUCACAGUGCUGCCGUGCCCUUGUUCCCAGGCAUUAUGGCUGUUGGUGCAUGGCAUUGACUUUAUAUCAUUUGAUAAAAAAUUUAUUCACCCUUACACGAAGGGGAUUUUGGUGCCCAUCAUCACCUCUAUGAAAUGGUUUGUGGUUGCUAUGACGCCCGUCACACAGCCCAUGCUGCUGAUGCUGGGCAAGUCAUAACCGCAGAGGGACCUUGGCCUGCUGGGUGUGUUGUACGCUAGAGGUAGAGAAGACUGCUGAGAAAGUUUCAUAUUUUAAAUGUUGGAGAAUUCAAUCAGUGACACUUUUUUCUUCUUUUAUUCAUGUGAUUUAUUUGACUCUGUCCACUGAAGUACAGAAGUCUGAACCGUGGAAAAGAUAAAGGUGAGAGUACUGGUUCUGUGAAGAGAAGGAAAGCUACAUGCUUUGCUAAUAUGAUUUUGAUGACUUGAAAUCCAGUACUAUAUGAUAACACACACACACAUGCUGGUACCUAUUUUAGCGCGUUCAUGUUUAAGAAUCUGUUUAUUCCCACGUAUCUUUUCAUUAGUAUGUAUAACUUCCUCGGUAGCCUCGUAGCCCCUCCCCAUCACCCCCACAGCUAGUCACCCGCCGCUCAGUCACUCCGCUGCUGCCUUACUGACUCAAGAUUGGCGCCAUUGCUUUUGGACUGAGGUUAACACUCAAUGCUUUCACUCACGCUUGACCAGAGAGAGAGCGAGUGUGUGAGAGAGAGCGUGUGUGAGAGAAAGUGAGACAGUGAAUGUUAUGUGUGUGUGUGCGUGUGUAUGUAUGUUUUGCACUAGUUUGUAGUAAAAGCUAGUCGUACAGAGGAAGCAUCGGGGGUUGUGUUUGUGUGUGGUGGAUGAGUCGCAUCUCCGAGACUCCGAGACGUAAACUUUGUCGCGAUUUGAAGUCACACACAUAUUAUAGACCUCCUGUUAUUUUCUUUCCAUACUCUUGAGUCCUAGAAAUCAUAGUCCCUGCAUCUGAUUUAUUAUUAUGCAUCGCCUUUCUUUCAUCAUUGUAAACACACACACAUACGUAUAUAUAUGAGAAAUAGAGAUGUUUCGUUUAGUCUGCAUAUUAUAUAAGUUACCCCUCUAUUGCAGCAUUUUCUCUAGGUAGGAUACAUUAUUGCUCAUUUUCUUUACAUUAUUAUGCAUCGUCCUUCUUUUCAUCAUUGUAAACACACACACAUACGUAUAUAUAUAAGAAAUAGAUGUUUUGUUUAGUCCGCAUAAUGUCUAAGUUCCCCCUCUAUUGCAGCAUUUUCUCUAGGUAAGAUACAUUAUUGCUCAUUUUCUUUACAUUAUUAUGCAUCGUCCUUCUUUUCGUCAUCGUAAUCACACAUACACACACAUAUAUAUAAGAAAUAGAUGUUUUGUUUCGUCUGCAUAUUAUCUAAGUUCCCCCUCUAUUGCAGCAUUUUCUCUAGGCAGGAUUCAUUGUUGCUCAUUUUCUUUACAUUAUUAUGCAUCGUUCUUCUUUUCAUCAUUGUAAUCCCACACACAUAAUAUAUAUAAGAAAUAGAUGUUUUGUUUAGUCUGCAUAAUGUCUAAGUUACCCCUUUAUUGGAGCAUUUUCUCUAGGCAGGAUUCAUUGUUGCUCAUUUUCUUUACUUACUCUCCUUGUUGCUUAUCUUUACUUAGUUUCUUCUCUCUGCAAAUAUCUUAUGUGUGUCUUCGGGAACUGUGACCCAUUGCAGUCUCAUACCAUAUUCUUCUAAGUUACCCUUCUAUUGCAGCAUUUUCUCUAGGCAGGAUUCAUUGUUGCUCAUUUUCUUUACUUAAUCUCCUUGUUGCUCAUCUUUACUUAGUUUCUUCUCUCUGCUGCAGGAAAAUAUCUUAUGUGUGUCUUCGGGAACUGUGGCCCAUUGCAGUCUCAUAUCAUAUUCUUCUAAGUUACCCCUUUAUUGCAGCAUUUUCUCUAGGCAGGAUUCAUUGUUGCUCAUUUUCUUUACUUAAUCUCCUUGUUGCUUAUCUUUACUUAGUGUCUUCUCUCUGCUGCAGGUAAAUAUCUUAUGCGUGUCUCCGGAAACAGUGACGCAUUCCAGUCUCAUACCACACUCACAGCAGCCUUCGUCCCUGCACCAGCGCCGAGGUCUAGAUGGAAAGGGUGGUUUUGUUUACAAUAUUACAAUACAUGAGGUGAAGGGAGGAAAUGCUACCUCGUGAAUGUGCAAUGCUGAGGAACCGUAGCCAUAAGACGGAAAUAUAUGAUUUUUUGGACCACCACUGAUAAUGUCGAUUUGUCUUACGUAUGAUUUUGUUAAUGUCGUAUUAGUAUUUAUUAAGUUAUGUGACUAUUUUCGCUUUUUGAUUUCUGUUUUUUGGGGUGGAAUUAUUCGGAAGUGCUGGAUUUUCACAGAUUUAACCCCGUAACUGCCGAUUUCCUGCAAGAAGACAUCACCAAGCUACAGGAAUGGAACAAAAAGUGGCUGCUACAAAUCAAUGAAGAAAAAUGUAAAGUCCUGCACCUUGGUUGGGGAAAUCCAGCACACCAAUACUACCAUACGGGAAACACUCCACUAUCCACCACUGAGGCAGGCCAUGUUUAAGGAUUCAGGCAUAAGAUGUGAGAAAGUCAAGCUGUCGGUCAUUAAGGAAAGUUUAGCAAAAUUAUAACCUUUAGUAAGAGAGAAAUUGAUUUGUGUGAUAGAUGCAUGUUGCUGCUGAUUGGAGGAUAUUAAGUGAUAAGUGAUAUGUUAGAGUACAAGACAGUUAUGGUUUUGAUAAGAGGAAAGUAUAUAUUUGUAUUUAAAGAUUUCACUGAUAUGUCUCUGAUGGGAGGAAGGAAAACUUGUAGAUCUUCAGAGGUUAGCAAAAUUACAACUUUAAGAGGAAGGUUUAUUUGUGUUCUAAAGAUUUCAGUGUUAUGCCUUUGGUUGGAGGAAAUUUAACUAAAUAUUUAGAUUAGCAAAAUUACAUCUUAGUAUGAGAAGUUUAUUUACACAGAGGUCAGCAAACUUGCAACUUAUUUAAGAGAAGAGUUUAUAUAUAUUCAAAAGACUUCCCUGAUAUGCUUUUUUAAUGGGAAGAAAUUAAACUCUAGAUCAGUAGUUCCCAACCAGGGUUCCAUGGAAGAAUUUCAAGGGGUUCAUAGAGAUUCUGAUUAUUUUGAAAUUCAUUAUACCAGAAUUAGGAGACAUGUGGCUCGGAAUAAACUUCAUACUAGUGUACACAAUCCUUAAAACUGAUUGCUUAAAUGCUAGAAUUGCUCUACAUUAGCUAACAAUACCAGGGGUGUCAGACUCACGGCCCACAUGACAAACUUGGCCCUUGGGAUGGUCAUGAGUGGCCCCGAGAUGGAGGGGUCCACAGGUGAAUAGGUGACUGGAAAAGAGGGAAUGGACAAAAAAGGUUGGGAACUAUUGCUCUAGAUCUUUUAAGUUUAGCAAAAUUACAGCUUAUAUAGAGAAAGUUUAUACUCAAAAGACUUCACUGAUAUGUCUUUAAUGGGAGGAUACUCUAAACUUAAGAUCUUUAGAGGUUAGCAAAAUUACAACUCAUAAGACAAGUUUAUUUACAUUCAGAAGAUGAGGAAGGUCAAGAUUACGCUUCUCUCUUCCUGUUCUUUGUCGAGUUUUCCUCCCAUCACUUAAACAAGGAGCUGAUGAUGCGAUAUGUUCCGUCACUUGUCUUGGAGAACGCUGGAGGCUGUGUGUUGGGAAAUGCAUACUAUACCUUAUUUUGUGUGCCUAUAGCUUUUAUUAUCAUUAUCUGCCUCUGUUGUAACUUUUUUGUCAUUUUUUCAUCUCUCGCUCUUGUGUAUACUUUAACUCUUUAAUUUUUUUUCUUUCUCUUUAUCUGAUUCUCUUUAUACUUACUGAACUCUAGCACUCUAUUUCUCUCUUUUUCUCUCUCUAUAGCUUAGUCUCUCUAUAUGUACUUGUUUAUAUUGUAGUUCCCUUCUUUUGCAUUCUUUUCUGUCACUCUAUCUUAAACUAUCUAUAUUUGCCUAUAGCUUAAAUCUUUCUUAUUUCCUUUAUUAUUUCUCUCUAUCCCUAUCUCUAUCUAUACCUGCCCAUAUCGUAACUAACUCUCUUUAUUUUCUCCCAUUCUCACUUUCUUCCUGCUCAUAUCUUAACUAUCUCAUUUCUCUCUUCUUUUUCUCUUCCUUUUCUCGCUCUCGCUGUCUCUCUCUCUCUCUCUCUUUCGUUAAUACAUGCUAGUCAGACCGAGGUUUAAUAUGCAGGAACGAAGGCUGUCAGUGGAGGGGCUGAUGUCAAGUGUUUUCUGGAGUCACCAAAUAGCUAUUCCUUCUUACCCAACGUUGUGUGUGUAUGUAUGUAUGUAGUCUGUUUCCGCUCAUUUGGGGUCUGUUCGCCAAUUUGUACGCAGCGUUCCAAUUGGUGCGGAGGAAGAGAACUUGUGGAAAAUUGUGUUUUGGGAAAAUUUUGAUCUUUUGUGAGAUUGGAAUUAGUCAGGAAAAUUGUUGUUUGAAAUCCAUAGUACAGAAAAUUAUCAAAAAAACAUUGUGUAAGUUGAUCAAAACCCGAAAUAGUGAAAAUUAUAUAAAAAACUAGAUUAUUGGACUUUCUAUAAUUGAUUAUAUACUUGAAAAAAAUGUCAGUUGUUCGAAAUCCAUAGUAGUACAGAAAAUCAUUAAAAAAAAAACAUAAGAAAAUUAGAAGCUGAAGGAAAAAGAAAUGAGAAGGGAAAUGACGUAGAAAAGAAAGGAAAGCGAGGAAAACAUGAGAGGAAGGAAAAGGAAGAAGAAAAACAUGAAGAUAAUGAAAAAGAAAGGAGAAAAUAGGAUACGGAGAAGAAGGAGGGAUAGGAGGAGGAAGAGAGAGAGGAGGUAGAGGAAAAUAAAACAAGUUAUCAGAAAUCCAAAAUGCUAGAAAUAAUCAACAAGCUUUUUGCAGACUUUUAUACUUCAAUUAAAUAGUUUCAAGAUGCAAAAUUCUCUCUAAUGAUGACACGCAUACUAAUUAGAUCUAUGCAUACUUUUUUAUACUUCAAUACGAUUUUUCCAGAGUGCAUAGUUCUCUCUGAUGACACGCAUACUAAUUAGAUUUAUGCAUACUUUUUUAUACUCCAAUACGAUUUUUCCAGAGUGCAUAGUUCUCUCUAAUGCUGAUAUGCGUACUAAUUUUACCUCUGCGUACCAAUGGGCAAACACCCCCUCGACCACCACCCCCAACCCCAUUUCUAUACAUAUAUCCAAAGUUCAUUUAUAUACUCCUUAAUUUGCUAACUUGUUUUGAGAUACAUAUAUUUGAUAGGCCUGCGUGAUCGGCCGUGGAGGCGCGGCUUGUAAAGUAUGUACUGCUGUUGCUCUUACUACUGCUACUGUUUAGGUUAAGACGCGAGACAUUGUAAAAUAUAUUGAGGUAAAAAUAAAAUUACUCUUUCGUGA